Molecule: ribosomal RNA, 444 nt
Filed under: uncultured bacterium
Lineage: Bacteria
Description: bacterial SSU rRNA
Rfam family: Bacterial small subunit ribosomal RNA
Source: RNAcentral
AUUGAACGCUGGCGGCAUGCUUUACACAUGCAAGUCGAACGGCAGCACGGGUGCUUGCACCUGGUGGCGAGUGGCGGACGGGUGAGUAAUGCAUCGGAACGUGUCCUGAAGUGGGGGAUAACGCAUCGAAAGAUGUGCUAAUACCGCAUAUUCUCUGAGGAGGAAAGUAGGGGAUCGAAAGACCUUAUGCUUUUGGAGCGGCCGAUGUCUGAUUAGCUAGUUGGUAGGGUAAUGGCUUACCAAGGCGACGAUCAGUAGUUGGUCUGAGAGGACGACCAGCCACACUGGGACUGAGACACGGCCCAGACUCCUACGGGAGGCAGCAGUGGGGAAUUUUGGACAAUGGGCGCAAGCCUGAUCCAGCAAUGCCGCGUGAGUGAAGAAGGGCCUUCGGUGUUAAAGACUCUUUCUAGUUGAGAAGAAAAAGUACGUAGACGUAAUAAU